AGACGGGUAGAGGUGGGCGCUCCGGGGUGCCCUUUGCCUGCUGGGGUUCUCCGCUGCGCUCCCUCUGCUGGCUCAUAGCUGCUCCUGUGCGUCCGGGCCCCGGUCCCAUUACCCAGCCUCGGCCUCCCGCUGCGCAAGGAGGCGGGUCCUCAAGAGCCUCCCCCACAGCUUGCGUUGAGCCCCGAUGUCUUGCCCACAGCCCAGAGGCGCCGGGGUCAACUGCUGCCAGCCUGCGGCCCAGGGCGGGGGAUCGGCUCCCCGCCCGCAGGGCCGGCGCGACGUGCAGGAGCCUCCCGCGCGCCAGUCUGCACGCCGCGCACGUCCAGGGCCAGGGUGUUGGGGGCCAACCCGUGGCAGGUGCUGGUCCCAUGCAGCUUGCUCCUGAGCCCUGUCACCGCUUCCAGUGGACACCUCCUCAGGAUGCCUCCCCGCCUCCAGUGACCUCACCAUCAUGCGAAGCUGGCAGAGUUCUGAGCACAUCUCCCACUGUCAGGCCCACUGGGUGUCCUACAGGAGAACCCGUAACAGCAAUGCUGCCCUCUCUUUCCAGAAAUGAAUCGUCUGCUUUAAUCACGGGGCUCUACAACCAGAGAAUGUCACUGCACUGGGAUCAUUUGCUUUCCACUCUGCCUGGCAGUCAUGGCUCACCAGCUUGCAGGUCCACACAGGGUCACAUCUCCUUCUGGGGAGCAGGGGUAGGAGUGCUCGUGGCCUGGAACCGAGGUGCAGGGACAGGAGACGGGCGAGCCAAGCAGAACAGCCGUCCAUGAGUCAUGGUUCCAGAACAACCAGCAAAUGGCCAGCACCUGCUCACCCACCCCCUCCCACACCUGCCAGCCUCACCAGGGGGUUUUGGCCGCUGGACAGUCAGGGUGGGGCCGGCCCAAACUGACCACCCCUCCAGAAGAAAGUGACAGAUGUUAGCACCAGCAGGUCCUGCCCUCCCCAUCAACAGAUGUCAAGACAUGAAAAAUUGGGGUAAAUGAAGGGUGCACGAUUAGAUUUGGGCCCAAGCUGGGUUCCUGUGGGUGCCAGAGACAGCUGCAAAGGCACGUCAGGGACAAUCACCCUGAUGCGGUGGGGGCUGCCAGGCCCGUGUGCCCGGGGACAGCUGGACGAGGUGCUGACACGGGGCUCCUUCCUCUGAAGCCGUCCCGCAGCUGCUGGGAGUGCCGCCAGCUGUGAGCUUGUGCGCCUCGGCUCCAGGGCCGUGCUGGGGGAGCUGCAGGCGGGCCCACCUAGGGGUUCCUGGGACACUAGCCCAUCUUGAGCUGAUAGCUCCUCUCAGGGGAGACCCCUUUCUCCCCUCCCCUCCCCUUCUUGGCCCUUUCUGGCUCUGUCCAGGUGGGGCUCAGCUCCAGGUCUCUUGAAACCAGCCCGGAGGGGUCAGGCCUCCUCUCAGCACCUCUGGCCUCUCCCGUGUCUUGGCUUGUUUUCAUAUAGUUUUUUGCUUGAACAUGUAGGUUCAGGAGCCUUCCCCAGGCUCCUGGUGUUGGUGAACAGCUGCUUCGUAGAGACCCCAGCAUGCAGGCACUGAGCGGUGGGGCGAGAGGAAAGCAUCUCGGUGCCCCGACCCAGCACCAGGCCCCAGCCCUCCGGCUUGGGGUUUGCAGAAGAGGUUUGUUUUAGAGUGGGGCAUCUUCGUGGGGCACAAGAUGUACCCAUGUCUAAAUAUUAUUUUAAAACUGUUAGUUGGGCUUCCCUGGUGGUGCGGUGGUUGGGAAUCCGCCUGCCAAUGCAGGGGACACGGGUUCGAGCCCUGGCCCGGGAAGAUCCCACAUGCCGUGGAGCAGCUAAGCCCGUGCGCCACAACUACUGAGCCUGCGCUCUAGAGCCCACAAGCCAUAACUACUGAGCCCAUGUGCCACAACUACUGAAGCCGGUGAGCCUAGAGCACAUGCUCUGCAACAAGAGAAGACACCACAAUGAGAAGCCUGCGCACCGCAAUGAAGAGUGGCCCCCGCUCGCCGCAACUAGAGAAAGCCCACAUGCAGCAAUGAAGACCCAAUGCAGCCAAAAAUAAAUAAAUAAAAUAAAUAAAUUUUUAAAAAUUAAAAAAUAAAAAAAAUAAAUAAAACUGUUAGUUGCUCUCUAGCAUAGAUGAAGAUACAAGUUUAAAUGAAGUUGUAAGUAUAAACGACAUGACUUAUUCCAACAGGUAAAAGCAAUGCCUUUUUAGGUGAUUCUGAAACAAGGACCAGAGCAGAUUUUUUUUUUUUUUAAUUUUGGUGAAAUUCACAUAGCAUAAAAUUAAGUAUUUUUAGGUGUACAAUUCAGUAGCAUUUAGUACAUUCACCAUGUUGUGCAAGCAUCACCUCUAUUUAGUUCUACAAUAUCUUCAUCACCCCACAAGGAAACCCUGUCCCUGUUAGCAGUCACUCCUCAUCCCCCUCCCCCAGCCCCUGGGAACCACUGAUCUAAUUUCUGUCUCUGUGGAUUUGCUUAU
Molecule: long non-coding RNA, 2446 nt
Organism: Balaenoptera ricei (Rice's whale)
Lineage: Eukaryota; Metazoa; Chordata; Mammalia; Artiodactyla; Balaenopteridae
Exons: 4
Source: RefSeq, a predicted model, not a curated record